GGCCUCUCCCAUGGAGCUGUGGAGGGUGUGUUUUCUCCUCAGCCAGGACUGAAGGCCAAGAUCAGCCCUUGAGGUCCAUUGUCGGGGCUGCCACGAGCUGGCAGCCUUGUUUACCUACCUCAGACAUUU
Molecule: small nucleolar RNA, 129 nt
Filed under: Sus scrofa (pig)
Lineage: Eukaryota; Metazoa; Chordata; Mammalia; Artiodactyla; Suidae
Source: RNAcentral